UUUAUUGUGCCACUCCAGCCUAGACCUAGGCCUUCUAUUUUUAUUUAUAUUUUUUUAAUAUUCAGCGCUUUUUCACAUGAAAAGACUGGGACUAGGUAAUUUGGGGGCGGGGCGGAGGAACCGCUGAAUACUAAAAAAUAUAAAUAAGACUAGAAGGCCUAGGUCUAGGCUGGUGCCACUCCAAU
Molecule: non-coding RNA, 185 nt
Organism: Paramuricea clavata
Lineage: Eukaryota; Metazoa; Cnidaria; Anthozoa; Malacalcyonacea; Plexauridae
Source: the annotation of a GenBank genome assembly